GGAUCCAGACUUUGAUCCUGGCUCAGGAUGAACGCUAGCUACAGGCUUAACACAUGCAAGUCGAGGGGCAGCGGGAUUGAAGCUUGCUUCAAUUGCCGGCGACCGGCGCACGGGUGAGUAACGCGUAUCCAACCUUCCGUACACUCAGGGAUAGCCUUUCGAAAGAAAGAUUAAUACCUGAUGGUAUGAUGAGAUUGCAUGAUAGCAUCAUUAAAGAUUUAUCGGUGUACGAUGGGGAUGCGUUCCAUUAGGUAGUAGGCGGGGUAACGGCCCACCUAGCCAACGAUGGAUAGGGGUUCUGAGAGGAAGGUCCCCCACAUUGGAACUGAGACACGGUCCGAACUCCUACGGGAGGCAGCAGUGAGGAAUGUUGGUCAAUGGACGAGAGUCUGAACCAGCCAAGUAGCGUGAAGGAUGAAGGUCCUACGGAUUGUAAACUUCUUUUAUAAGGGAAUAAACCCUCCCACGUGUGGGAGCUUGUAUGUACCUUAUGAAUAAGCAUCGGCUAACUCCGUGCCAGCAGCCGCGGUAAUACGGAGGAUGCGAGCGUUAUCCGGAUUUAUUGGGUUUAAAGGGAGCGCAGACGGGUCGUUAAGUCAGCUGUGAAAGUUUGGGGCUCAACCUUAAAAUUGCAGUUGAUACUGGCGUCCUUGAGUGCGGUUGAGGUGUGCGGAAUUCGUGGUGUAGCGGUGAAAUGCUUAGACAUCACGAAGAACUCCGAUUGCGAAGGCAGCACACUAAUCCGUAACUGACGUUCAUGCUCGAAAGUGUGGGUAUCAAACAGGAUUAGAUACCCUGGUAGUCCACACGGUAAACGAUGGAUACUCGCUGUUGGCGAUAUACUGUCAGCGGCUUAGCGAAAGCGUUAAGUAUCCCACCUGGGGAGUACGCCGGCAACGGUGCAACUCAAAGGAAUUGACGG
Molecule: ribosomal RNA, 922 nt
Filed under: uncultured Bacteroidota bacterium
Lineage: Bacteria; Pseudomonadati; Bacteroidota
Description: bacterial SSU rRNA
Rfam family: Bacterial small subunit ribosomal RNA
Source: RNAcentral